CACGUAGGGCGCGAGCGUUGUCCGGAAUUAUUGGGCGGAAAGAGCUCGUAGGCGGCCUGUUGCGUCCGCUGUGAAAGCCCGGGGCUUAACCCCGGGUCGGCAGUGGAUACGGGCAGGCUAGAGGUAGGUAGGGGAGAAUGGAAUUCCCGGUGUAGCGGUGAAAUGCGCAGAUAUCGGGAGGAACACCGGUGGCGAAGGCGGUUCUCUGGGCCUUACCUGACGCUAAGGAGCGAAAGCGUGGGGAGCGAACAGG
Molecule: ribosomal RNA, 253 nt
Filed under: uncultured bacterium
Lineage: Bacteria
Description: partial 16S ribosomal RNA
Rfam family: Bacterial small subunit ribosomal RNA
Source: RNAcentral